Molecule: ribosomal RNA, 400 nt
Filed under: uncultured Sphingobacteriales bacterium
Lineage: Bacteria; Pseudomonadati; Bacteroidota; Sphingobacteriia; Sphingobacteriales
Description: bacterial SSU rRNA
Rfam family: Bacterial small subunit ribosomal RNA
Source: RNAcentral
UCGAACGUAAGAUGACUGUAGGUGAAAGCUUACAUCUCUUCGGAGCAUUUUACGAGGUGCUGCAUGGUUGUCGUCAGCUCGUGCCGUGAGGUGUCGGGUUAAGUCCCAUAACGAGCGCAACCCCUACCUUUAGUUGCCAUCAGGUUAAGCUGGGGACUCUAAAGGAACUGCCUACGCAAGUAGUGAGGAAGCGGGGAUGACGUCAAAUCAGCACGGCCCUUACGUCCAGGGCUACACACGUGCUACAAUGGCCGAUACAGAGGGCAGCUACCUGGUGACAGGAUGCAAAUCUCCAAAGUCGGUCUCAGUUCGGAUCGGAGUCUGCAACCCGACUCCGUGAAGUUGGAUUCGCUAGUAAUCGCGCAUCAGCCAUGGCGCGGUGAAUACGUUCCCGGGCCUU